This 700-nucleotide long non-coding RNA is filed under the name Aquilegia coerulea. RNAcentral's name for it is "long non-coding RNA (ACOE_LNC000107)". The record is from RNAcentral. Lineage: Eukaryota; Viridiplantae; Streptophyta; Magnoliopsida; Ranunculales; Ranunculaceae.
UCAAUGUGGAUAUCUCAUUUAUAGACGCUGAAACUCCUAUUGGAAUUGGUUAUAUUAUCAGGUCUUCAAAUGGUAACUAUGUAUUUGCAGGAACAGAAUGUGAUUAUGCAAGUUCCGCUGAAGAAGCUGAGUGUAUCCUUUUAGCAGUCAGACAUUGUAUCCGACACCAACUGAAGAACGUAGAAGUGGAAACUGACCACAAAGCAGCAGCAGACUAUUUAAUUGGAAUACCUACAAAUCUGUUUUGGAGUGUUGUUAAUAUUUUAGAAGAGACAAAGAACUGUAGUACAUAUUUUAAUUAUGUAAAGUUUAUGUUCUGUAACAGGUCUGGGAACCAACUUGCUCAUAUCUUGGCUAUGACCAGGGAUACAAGUUGUCUGGUUCCUAUGUCCUACUCUAUCCCCCCUACCUCACUGUUAAGUCAGUUGGAAAGGGAACAACUGUUUUGUAAUUUGGUUAACUCUUAGCUGCAGUAUUUUAAUAUAUUGAUUAUUCAAAAAAAAAAAAAAAAAACAUAUUGAUUUGAUAGCAUUUUGCUCUUUACGAUUUGCCAUUCUCAACAAUCUUGCAAAUAGACAUGUUGAGACUUGAGAGUACUAUAGUAUAUCCUUCUUUGAGCCAAGCUGUUUAUCGCAACAUAAUCUGUCAACCAUUUGUUAUUGUCAUGUAUAACACCCAUCCUUUGAGUUUCCAUCCUUUG